UGAGGAAUAUUGCGCAAUGGGGGCAACCCUGACGCAGCAACGCCGCGUGAGUGAGGAAGGUUUUCGGACCGUAAAGCUCUGUCGAGCGGGAAGAAAUGCAUGGUGGCUAAUAUCCAUCAUGCUUGACGGUACCGCUAAAGGAAGCACCGGCUAACUCCGUGCCAGCAGCCGCGGUAAUACGGGGGGUGCGAGCGUUGUUCGGAAUUAUUGGGCGUAAAGAGCGUGUAGGCGGCCGAAUAAGUCAGAUGUGAAAUCCCUGGGCUUAACCCAGGACGCGCAUUUGAAACUAUUCGGCUGGAGUAGGGGAGAGGAAAGUGGAAUUCCUGGUGUAGAGGUGAAAUACGUAGAUAUCAGGAGGAACACCGGUGGCGAAGGCGACUUUCUGGCCCUAUACUGACGCUGAGACGCGAGAGCGUGGGUAGCAAACAG
RNAcentral lists this ribosomal RNA (429 nucleotides) under uncultured bacterium. Its description in RNAcentral is "bacterial SSU rRNA". It matches the Rfam family "Bacterial small subunit ribosomal RNA", at positions 355 to 775 of the family's 1533-position model. The record is from RNAcentral.